This 4013-nucleotide transfer RNA is filed under the name Sus scrofa (pig). Its description in RNAcentral is "lncRNA (ENSSSCG00035029246.1, ENSSSCG00045025287.1)". The record is from RNAcentral. Lineage: Eukaryota; Metazoa; Chordata; Mammalia; Artiodactyla; Suidae.
UCAGAACUGAAGAUGUUUCUGGCCAGAGAGUUUGAUUCAUUAAAAGAACACUAAUAGCAACAUAAACUCAUGUGCCUUUACACACACAAAAAUAAUGUUUCCUGAUUCGUAACCCAUGUGGCUGAGAGGGUCUCUUCUUUGUGUUAAGAAGCUAGAAAAGCUCACUUGAGAUCAUCUUAAUGUUCACUUAAUUAAUAAUUGAGAUCCUAUUAAUCCAGAAAAGAGCCAUUUGAGGAUUUUUGCAGACAUUGCAGGUAUGGACUAGGGCUCUGUGUAUCUUCUCACAAUAUUGGAGGAUUUUAUGUGUACAAAGGCCUACUAGGAAUCUUCCGCCCUUGCCUCCUUCUCCCUCACACACCUACAGCUCUGCUUUCCCAAGUAAAAUAUUGGAGUUCCUGCUGUGGCUCAGUGGUAACAAACCCAACUAGUGUCCAUGAGGAUGCAGGUUUGAUCCCUGGCCUUGCUCAGUGGGGUUAAGGAUCUGGUGUUGCUGCAAGCUGAGGCAUAGGUAGCAGACACAGCUCAGAUCUGGCGCUGCUGUGGCGUAGGCCGGCAGGCAGCUACAACUCUGAUUCAACCCCUAGCCUGGGAAUUUCCAUACGCCACAGGAGCAGCCAUAAGAAGGAAAAACAAAAAAUCUGUGUUAAGACCUCAGGAAGUUUUAAGGUGUUGCUUCAUAGACCCUUUCAAGCAUACAAAGACCUGCAAACUAUAAGCUCAGACAGUAGCUUUGCAGAGACUAAGGCAGAGAAGGGCUAAAUGAGAUUUGUGGGUAUGGUUUUGCCUAAUGGAGUGGGUCAUAAAUUGAUUCUUAAGAAGCCUGCAAUGUUUUUUCCUUAAAGAACUAUGAUGAACUUAAAUCAUAAGGGACAUCAGGCCUUCGAAUUCCCAAAGGGCAGGAAGCAGUCUAAGAGAGCAACUCAGCUGCAAAGAUGGGCUACUUUUAGUGGAAAAGGAAAAGUGCCCAAAGGGUAGACUCAAGAGCAGAUAUGGUGAAUGACUUCCAAGAAACAGAACUGAGUCCUCAUCAGGGAACUGGCAGCACACACUCAGGAGGAUUGCAGAACUGCUGUGAGCCAGGGACUACUCUGGGCUCCCCACUUUUCUCCCUUUUGAGCCUAAGUGUCUAUACCUUGACCCACUGCUGUAUUUUGGGUAUGGUGGGGAGAUGGCUUGUCUCUUGAGUCACAGGUGUUCAGAUUGGGUGGAGCUACCCUAGGGGAUAGUAGCCAGGGAGCCUCAGCCACAUGCUACCAUAGGAUCUGGAAGCAUGGAUCGAUGUCGGGAGACAUGUUUCUACAAUAUUUUCUUAGCCACUCUGUUUCUAUUUUCUUUGCUAAAACCUCCAUCUUGUCCUGCCUUACUUUACCCCAUCUUCCUGCUCGAAAAACAGUUGCAGUGCUGGUAAACGACUUAAGCUUAAGAACAAAGACCUAAAGGCAUAAGUUAUUCUUAGGGUCAGCUGAAUGAGGACAGGGAUGCCGGACCUGUGCAGAUGGGCACGCCUGUGCAGAUGGGCAGGGCGUCUGCACAACAUAUGUCCUAUCAAAAUAAGAGAAAGAGGAACCUCAUGGCCCCAAGUGGUUUAUGAAUGGUCAUUAGCAGAAUAUGCAUCAGCAAGGAGAACCAAGGUGCAAACCUAGGCACCCCAGGUUGCCGCAGAUAGACAUGCCCUUUGUGGAAGCACAAUGGUGAUUCUUGAGAUGCUAUGCACAGAUAGCCAAGCUUCCCCAAAUGCUAAUGAUUGUUAAAUGCCUAAAGGUCAGAAUAAAAGCUUAAUCAUCUACCAGCUGUGUGACUUCUAAAAUAAUAAAAGAACUUCUAAAAUAAUACAAAAAACUAUAUCCUACACCUAUAACCCCCUCCUCACUUGACGUCAUCCUAAAGAGCACAGUAAAAGCAGUGUGGUUUCUUGAGGCAGCACUCUUGGUCCCUGAGACCUUGAGUCCCCCAGUUCCCACCUUUACUUAAGAUAAAUGUCUCUGUAUCUUGUUUUAUGUUAACUUUUCCUUAAGUUUCACGGCACCCGUUCUUCCGCCCUCACCUGCUGAGCUGUCUCGGCAGAUGGAGAGGAGGGGGAGUGAGUAUAUCUUACAUGUAGGGGGAAAUGCAAAGAAUUCAUGUCCCAUGGGCCACCUGUGAAGUCUUAAAACAUGCCUGUGAAUUCGUUGAUGUUCUUCCCAACAAAAGAUAGAGCCCAAUUCCCCUUCCCUUGAAAGGGGCUUGCUUCUAACAAAUAGAAUAUGGCAGAAGGGAUCCUGUUUGACUUCUCAGACAAGCUCACAAAAGGGGAGGCAGUUUUGCCUUGUUUCUUUUCUCUUGCCAGGUUUGCUUUGGAAUCCACUGACCCCUGUGGGAGGUGGGCCAGCAGCCACCAGGGAGGGCAGGGUGGAGGUGUUCUGGCCACAGUCCAGCUGCGGUCCCAGCCCAGGGCCACUCUUACCCGGCAACCUGUGAGUAGGAAGGUGAGUUUUCAGAUGUGGUCCCAGCGCAGAGAUGCCACGGGGAGCAAAGACAAACUGUCCUUGCCAACCCCAGCCAAAUUAUAAAUUCAUGAGGAAAAUGAAUGUAAUCAUUGAUUUAAGGCACUACUUUUUGGAGUGGUUUGUUAUGUGGCAACAGAUUAACUGGAUGUUGAUGUGCAAAUACCUGCUAGAAAUAUCCCCAUAUGCAAAUGCAACCUUGUAACAGUCACAAGAUUUUAGGCAUUAUAAAUUAUAAUUUCUUUAUGGUUCCCAGAUUUAUCACUUACUAAUUGUGGGACCUUUAGUAAGUCAGUCUCUUGAACUUCAGCGUCUGCAACUAUAAAAUGGAGAUGAAAGUACUUGUCUUAAAAAAAAUGAUUUAUGUUGUGAGAUAACGGAUGUUAGCUAAAAAAAAGUCAUUUAUGAAUAUUAUCUAGCAACGAGCAAAAGGAUGAUGUAUUGGAUUCACAUGAUUACAAAGAUAAAAAUGUACAGAAAUAGAUGGAUUAGGUUAGUGGAAUUAAAAAUAUUUUUUUCCUUCUAUUUUCCAGAUUUCCUUAAAAUGAUUUACUUUAGUAAUAAAAAAUUAAAAAGUGUUCCCCAAAAUCCCAUUGCACACUCCCAGCCCAAACCCAGGGAAUAAGUCAAUGGUUAUUUCUUCUCAGUCUCCCUGCAGGUUAAACCAGGUAAAUGGUUUGGAAGAGAAACAGUGAUGAAACAGCUUCCUAUCUCUUGGAAUCUGGGGGUCAAUACAGGAUUGACCCCAGAACCCAGAUUACUUGCCUCCCCAGCUAGCACACUAUUUCUUCCACCUGUAACCUCACAGUACUAGUUUUCACCUGUAUAGGCUAAGCCACACGAAAUGCCUUUAUUUAAAUAACUGGAAGUCUCAGCCAUCUGAUCUUAGGAGGCAUAUAAUCCAGUGAUUAGCAGAGUCAGUCAAAAUGCAUGCAUUGGAAACCUGCCUCCAGCACGUAUUAUCUGGGGUUUUUGUAGAUGUGAAUAAUGAUACUGGGGGGAGAUCAUCCUGGAUUACAAGGGUGGACCCUCUAUCCAAAGACACAGACACACGCAGGUCAGGGGAAGAGAGAAGUUAUGUAGCCACAAACCAGGCAAAGUCUGGAGCCACAGAAGCAGGGAGAAGUGGGAACGGAGUCUCUCUUAGAUCCCAGAGGAAGGACAGCCCUGAGGACAACUUCUAGCCCUCUGAACUGCGAUAAUACAUUUCUGUUGUUUUAAGACACCAAGUUUGUGAUGAUUCAUUAUGGCAGCCCUACGAAUAUAAUGCAGUGGAAGAAUCUUGCAAAUCACAAGGAUGAAGGGAAAAAAUUCAAAUGACAAGAAAAAAACCAUUUAAAGCUUUAAAAACAUGUAAUGGAUACUUUGUAUUAUUUAUAGAUAUAUACAUAUUGACAAAAAGCAUAAAGAAAAUGGGAGGGAAUUCCCUGGUGGUCUCAUGGUUAGGAUUUGGUGCUUUCACCACUGCAGCCUAGGUUCAAUCCCCAGUCUGGGAACUGAGAUCCCACACCAACCCACUACACACUGUGG